Molecule: ribosomal RNA, 1543 nt
Filed under: Klebsiella pneumoniae
Lineage: Bacteria; Pseudomonadati; Pseudomonadota; Gammaproteobacteria; Enterobacterales; Enterobacteriaceae
Description: bacterial SSU rRNA
Rfam family: Bacterial small subunit ribosomal RNA
Source: RNAcentral
AAAUUGAAGAGUUUGAUCAUGGCUCAGAUUGAACGCUGGCGGCAGGCCUAACACAUGCAAGUCGAGCGGUAGCACAGAGAGCUUGCUCUCGGGUGACGAGCGGCGGACGGGUGAGUAAUGUCUGGGAAACUGCCUGAUGGAGGGGGGAUAACUACUGGAAACGGUAGCUAAUACCGCAUAAUGUCGCAAGACCAAAGUGGGGGACCUUCGGGCCUCAUGCCAUCAGAUGUGCCCAGAUGGGAUUAGCUUGUAGGUGGGGUAACGGCUCACCUAGGCGACGAUCCCUAGCUGGUCUGAGAGGAUGACCAGCCACACUGGAACUGAGACACGGUCCAGACUCCUACGGGAGGCAGCAGUGGGGAAUAUUGCACAAUGGGCGCAAGCCUGAUGCAGCCAUGCCGCGUGUGUGAAGAAGGCCUUCGGGUUGUAAAGCACUUUCAGCGGGGAGGAAGGCGGUGAGGUUAAUAACCUCAUCGAUUGACGUUACCCGCAGAAGAAGCACCGGCUAACUCCGUGCCAGCAGCCGCGGUAAUACGGAGGGUGCAAGCGUUAAUCGGAAUUACUGGGCGUAAAGCGCACGCAGGCGGUCUGUCAAGUCGGAUGUGAAAUCCCCGGGCUCAACCUGGGAACUGCAUUCGAAACUGGCAGGCUAGAGUCUUGUAGAGGGGGGUAGAAUUCCGAGGUGUAGCGGUGAAAUGCGUAGAGAUCUGGAGGAAUACCGGUGGCGAAGGCGGCCCCCCUGGACAAAGACUGACGCUCAGGUGCGAAAGCGUGGGGAGCAAACAGGAUUAGAUACCCUGGUAGUCCACGCCGUAAACGAUGUCGAUUUGGAGGUUGUGCCCUUGAGGCGUGGCUUCCGGAGCUAACGCGUUAAAUCGACCGCCUGGGGAGUACGGCCGCAAGGUUAAAACUCAAAUGAAUUGACGGGGGCCCGCACAAGCGGUGGAGCAUGUGGUUUAAUUCGAUGCAACGCGAAGAACCUUACCUGGUCUUGACAUCCACAGAACUUAGCAGAGAUGCUUUGGUGCCUUCGGGAACUGUGAGACAGGUGCUGCAUGGCUGUCGUCAGCUCGUGUUGUGAAAUGUUGGGUUAAGUCCCGCAACGAGCGCAACCCUUAUCCUUUGUUGCCAGCGGUCCGGCCGGGAACUCAAAGGAGACUGCCAGUGAUAAACUGGAGGAAGGUGGGGAUGACGUCAAGUCAUCAUGGCCCUUACGACCAGGGCUACACACGUGCUACAAUGGCAUAUACAAAGAGAAGCGACCUCGCGAGAGCAAGCGGACCUCAUAAAGUAUGUCGUAGUCCGGAUUGGAGUCUGCAACUCGACUCCAUGAAGUCGGAAUCGCUAGUAAUCGUAGAUCAGAAUGCUACGGUGAAUACGUUCCCGGGCCUUGUACACACCGCCCGUCACACCAUGGGAGUGGGUUGCAAAAGAAGUAGGUAGCUUAACCUUCGGGAGGGCGCUUACCACUUUGUGAUUCAUGACUGGGGUGAAGUCGUAACAAGGUAACCGUAGGGGAACCUGCGGUUGGAUCACCUCCUUA